This 2025-nucleotide ribosomal RNA is filed under the name Escherichia coli. Its description in RNAcentral is "partial 23S ribosomal RNA". It matches the Rfam family "Bacterial large subunit ribosomal RNA", at positions 165 to 2213 of the family's 2925-position model. Lineage: Bacteria; Pseudomonadati; Pseudomonadota; Gammaproteobacteria; Enterobacterales; Enterobacteriaceae. The record is from RNAcentral.
CAUAGGUUAAUGAGGCGAACCGGGGGAACUGAAACAUCUAAGUACCCCGAGGAAAAGAAAUCAACCGAGAUUCCCCCAGUAGCGGCGAGCGAACGGGGAGCAGCCCAGAGCCUGAAUCAGUGUGUGUGUUAGUGGAAGCGUCUGGAAAGGCGCGCGAUACAGGGUGACAGCCCCGUACACAAAAAUGCACAUGCUGUGAGCUCGAUGAGUAGGGCGGGACACGUGGUAUCCUGUCUGAAUAUGGGGGGACCAUCCUCCAAGGCUAAAUACUCCUGACUGACCGAUAGUGAACCAGUACCGUGAGGGAAAGGCGAAAAGAACCCCGGCGAGGGGAGUGAAAAAGAACCUGAAACCGUGUACGUACAAGCAGUGGGAGCCUCUUUAUGGGGUGACUGCGUACCUUUUGUAUAAUGGGUCAGCGACUUAUAUUCUGUAGCAAGGUUAACCGAAUAGGGGAGCCGAAGGGAAACCGAGUCUUAACUGGGCGUUAAGUUGCAGGGUAUAGACCCGAAACCCGGUGAUCUAGCCAUGGGCAGGUUGAAGGUUGGGUAACACUAACUGGAGGACCGAACCGACUAAUGUUGAAAAAUUAGCGGAUGACUUGUGGCUGGGGGUGAAAGGCCAAUCAAACCGGGAGAUAGCUGGUUCUCCCCGAAAGCUAUUUAGGUAGCGCCUCGUGAAUUCAUCUCCGGGGGUAGAGCACUGUUUCGGCAAGGGGGUCAUCCCGACUUACCAACCCGAUGCAAACUGCGAAUACCGGAGAAUGUUAUCACGGGAGACACACGGCGGGUGCUAACGUCCGUCGUGAAGAGGGAAACAACCCAGACCGCCAGCUAAGGUCCCAAAGUCAUGGUUAAGUGGGAAACGAUGUGGGAAGGCCCAGACAGCCAGGAUGUUGGCUUAGAAGCAGCCAUCAUUUAAAGAAAGCGUAAUAGCUCACUGGUCGAGUCGGCCUGCGCGGAAGAUGUAACGGGGCUAAACCAUGCACCGAAGCUGCGGCAGCGACGCUUAUGCGUUGUUGGGUAGGGGAGCGUUCUGUAAGCCUGCGAAGGUGUACUGUGAGGUAUGCUGGAGGUAUCAGAAGUGCGAAUGCUGACAUAAGUAACGAUAAAGCGGGUGAAAAGCCCGCUCGCCGGAAGACCAAGGGUUCCUGUCCAACGUUAAUCGGGGCAGGGUGAGUCGACCCCUAAGGCGAGGCCGAAAGGCGUAGUCGAUGGGAAACAGGUUAAUAUUCCUGUACUUGGUGUUACUGCGAAGGGGGGACGGAGAAGGCUAUGUUGGCCGGGCGACGGUUGUCCCGGUUUAAGCGUGUAGGCUGGUUUUCCAGGCAAAUCCGGAAAAUCAAGGCUGAGGCGUGAUGACGAGGCACUACGGUGCUGAAGCAACAAAUGCCCUGCUUCCAGGAAAAGCCUCUAAGCAUCAGGUAACAUCAAAUCGUACCCCAAACCGACACAGGUGGUCAGGUAGAGAAUACCAAGGCGCUUGAGAGAACUCGGGUGAAGGAACUAGGCAAAAUGGUGCCGUAACUUCGGGAGAAGGCACGCUGAUAUGUAGGUGAAGCGACUUGCUCGUGGAGCUGAAAUCAGUCGAAGAUACCAGCUGGCUGCAACUGUUUAUUAAAAACACAGCACUGUGCAAACACGAAAGUGGACGUAUACGGUGUGACGCCUGCCCGGUGCCGGAAGGUUAAUUGAUGGGGUUAGCGGUAACGCGAAGCUCUUGAUCGAAGCCCCGGUAAACGGCGGCCGUAACUAUAACGGUCCUAAGGUAGCGAAAUUCCUUGUCGGGUAAGUUCCGACCUGCACGAAUGGCGUAAUGAUGGCCAGGCUGUCUCCACCCGAGACUCAGUGAAAUUGAACUCGCUGUGAAGAUGCAGUGUACCCGCGGCAAGACGGAAAGACCCCGUGAACCUUUACUAUAGCUUGACACUGAACAUUGAGCCUUGAUGUGUAGGAUAGGUGGGAGGCUUUGAAGUGUGGACGCCAGUCUGCAUGGAGCCGACCUUGAAAUACCACCCUUUAAUGU